This 353-nucleotide long non-coding RNA is filed under the name Mytilus galloprovincialis (Mediterranean mussel). Lineage: Eukaryota; Metazoa; Mollusca; Bivalvia; Mytilida; Mytilidae. The record is from RNAcentral.
GUUUCUGUUCUUGGACCAACUGAACAUGUAUUUGUUUCUUCAAUUCCCAUUUUACUAGCAUUCAAAAGUUGGUCAUAUUGAGAAAUUAGAUUGUAAUGAAAAUACAUUAAUACGUGACAAAUGAUAGCUUGUCACUUGUAAUAUCUGUCCUAUUGUAAUAAAAAAUUGUAGCCAUGAAUGAUACCUGGGUUAAUAUUAUACAAUUAUAGCCUUUGUAUGAGGUCGAUACAAGGUUAUAUCGACCUAAGAGAAGCAUAUUGACAGAGGACGAAGUCCAAGGUCGAUACGCUUCUCUAGGUUGAUAUAACAUCCUAUUGACCUCAACCAAAGGCUACAAUUGUUAUAUUAUUAAU